CCUAGGGCCAUGGCCGCGUUCUGCAGCAGUUCGAUGCGUCCAUACGGAAAAAGGCCUCCUCCCAGCUUUAUAUAUAAAGCAUUGAUCACCAACAGACCAGGCUGCCUCCAUGGCCAUCCCUCUCCUCUCCUAUAUGGAAGCAGUUCGAUGCGUCCAUCGAUGAGUCUGUCUGUCUCUUCUCAUUAGCAGAACACGACAGUUAGCUUCAGUAGCCUUCUGGCCCGGUCUGCUAGAAGCAAGCUGCGAGUGUGGUAUUUAUCUAAUUGAAUCCAUCGAUCUGGAGCACUGAUUGUUGUUAUUGUUCCCUAGUGUCAUGGGCUGGGGGUGUUAUUUUGGUUCUAGUUUAAUUUAUGGCCUCCCACAGGCUGCUGUAUCCCCACGAAGAUUGAUGUAUUUUUGGACAAGAACAACAAACAAUGGUGCAGGUGGCCGGCGAGCGGCGUGGUAUAGGCGGAAAGUGGUGGAGAAGCAAGAUGAUGGUGGCCACCGCCGACCCGACCUGGAGCUGGCCCUCUUUGAUGUCGUGUGCCUUGGGGUGGUCUUACUCUUGUCUCCAUGGAAAGCUGUAGCUCGACCUGGACUGGACGCCCGUGUGCUUGCAUAUAUAAUAUGCCAAUGAUUUGUGUGAUGA
Long non-coding RNA from Triticum aestivum (bread wheat), 631 nucleotides. RefSeq lists it as uncharacterized. Lineage: Eukaryota; Viridiplantae; Streptophyta; Magnoliopsida; Poales; Poaceae. The transcript is spliced from 2 exons. The record is from RefSeq and is a predicted model, not a curated record.